UCGCUUUGGUAGCACAUAUACCAAAAUUAGAACAACACAGAGAAAAUUAGCAUAGCCCUUGCACAAAGAUGACCUGAAAAUUUGUGAAGCAGUCCAUAUUUUU
Molecule: small nuclear RNA, 103 nt
Organism: Phyllostomus hastatus (greater spear-nosed bat)
Lineage: Eukaryota; Metazoa; Chordata; Mammalia; Chiroptera; Phyllostomidae
Source: RefSeq, a predicted model, not a curated record